GACGAACGCUGGCGGCGUGCUUAACACAUGCAAGUCGAACGGAAAGGCCCUGCUUUUGUGGGGUGCUCGAGUGGCGAACGGGUGAGUAAAACGUGAGUAACCUGCCCUUGACUUUGGGAUAACUUCAGGAAACUGGGGCUCAUACCGGAUAGGAGCUCCUGCUGCAUGGUGGUGGUUGGAAAGAUUCGGCGGUUGGGGAUGGACUCGCGGCUUAUCAGCUUGUUUGUGGGGUAGUGGCUUACAAAGGUUUUGACGGGUAGCCGGCCUGGGCGGGUGACCGGCCACAUUGGGACUGAGGGACGGCCCAGACUCCUACGGGAGGCAGCGGUGGGAAACAUUGCACAAUGGGCGGAAGCCUGAUGCAGCGACGCCGCGUGCGGGAUGACGGCCUUCGGGUUGUAAACCGCUUUCGCCUGUGACGAAGCGUGAGUGACGGUAAUGGGUAAAGAAGCACCGGCUAACUACGUG
RNAcentral lists this ribosomal RNA (468 nucleotides) under uncultured bacterium. RNAcentral's name for it is "partial 16S ribosomal RNA". It matches the Rfam family "Bacterial small subunit ribosomal RNA", at positions 28 to 507 of the family's 1533-position model. The record is from RNAcentral.